Molecule: ribosomal RNA, 450 nt
Filed under: uncultured bacterium
Lineage: Bacteria
Description: partial 16S ribosomal RNA
Rfam family: Bacterial small subunit ribosomal RNA
Source: RNAcentral
GUGGGGAAUAUUGGACAAUGGGCGAAAGCCUGAUCCAGCCAUGCCGCGUGUGUGAAGAAGGUCUUCGGAUUGUAAAGCACUUUAAGUUGGGAGGAAGGGUAGUAACCUAAUACGUUGCUACUUUGACGUUACCGACAGAAUAAGCACCGGCUAACUUCGUGCCAGCAGCCGCGGUAAUACGAAGGGUGCAAGCGUUAAUCGGAAUUACUGGGCGUAAAGCGCGCGUAGGUGGUUCAGUAAGUUGGAAGUGAAAUCCCCGGGCUCAACCUGGGAACUGCUUUCAAAACUGCUGAGCUAGAGUACGGUAGAGGGUGGUGGAAUUUCCAGUGUAGCAGUGAAAUGCGUAGAUAUUGGAAGGAACACCAGUGGCGUAAGCGGCUAUCUGGACGAGUAUUGACGCUGAGGCACGAAAGCGUGGGGAUCAAACAGGAUUAGAUACCCCGGUAGUCC